GUCCUUCGUCUAGAGGCCUAGGACACCGCCCUUUCACGGCGGUAACAGGGGUUCGAAUCCCCUAGGGGACGCCA
This 74-nucleotide transfer RNA is filed under the name Aeromonas caviae. Its description in RNAcentral is "tRNA-Glu". It matches the Rfam family "tRNA". Rfam says of the family: Transfer RNA (tRNA) molecules are approximately 80 nucleotides in length. Their secondary structure includes four short double-helical elements and three loops (D, anti-codon, and T loops). Lineage: Bacteria; Pseudomonadati; Pseudomonadota; Gammaproteobacteria; Aeromonadales; Aeromonadaceae. The record is from RNAcentral.